This 253-nucleotide ribosomal RNA is filed under the name uncultured bacterium. RNAcentral's name for it is "partial 16S ribosomal RNA". It matches the Rfam family "Bacterial small subunit ribosomal RNA", at positions 524 to 776 of the family's 1533-position model. The record is from RNAcentral.
GACGUAGGGGGCCAGCGUUGUUCGGAAUUACUGGGUGUAAAGGGUUCGUAGGCGGUGCGGCAAGUUGGGAGUGAAAUCUCUGGGCUUAACCCAGAGGCUGCUUCCAAAACUGCUGUGCUUGAGUGUGGGAGAGGCGCGUGGAAUUGCAGGUGUAGCGGUGAAAUGCGUAGAUAUCUGCAGGAACACCCGUAGCGAAAGCGGCGCGCUGGACCACUACUGACGCUGAGGAACGAAAGCUAGGGGAGCAAACAGG